RNAcentral lists this ribosomal RNA (398 nucleotides) under uncultured bacterium. RNAcentral's name for it is "bacterial SSU rRNA". It matches the Rfam family "Bacterial small subunit ribosomal RNA", at positions 140 to 518 of the family's 1533-position model. The record is from RNAcentral.
GGGAUACCCAGAGGAAACUUUUGGCUAAUACCGGAUAACAACAGAAGAGGCAUCUCUUCAAGUUUGAAAGGCCCUUUACGGGGUCACUUAAGGAUGGAACCUGCGGCGCAUUAGCUAGUUGGUGAGAUAACAGCCCACCAAGGCGAGGAUGCGUAGCCGACCUGAGAGGGUGAUCGGCCACAUUGGAACUGAGACACGGUCCAAACUCCUACGGGAGGCAGCAGUAAGGAGUUUUCGGCAAUGGGGGAAACCCUGACCGAGCAACGGCCGCGUGAGUGAAUGACGGCCCUAUGGGUUGUAAAGCUCUGUUGUAAGGGACGAAUGACUAGCUUAGGAAAUGAAGUUAGUUUGACGGUACCUUACCAGAAAGCCACGGCUAACUACGUGCCAGCCGCUGC